Molecule: long non-coding RNA, 496 nt
Filed under: Equus asinus (donkey)
Lineage: Eukaryota; Metazoa; Chordata; Mammalia; Perissodactyla; Equidae
Description: lncRNA (ENSEASG00005033622.1)
Source: RNAcentral
GUAGCUUCAAAAAAGCAGCCACCGAGUAGCACAGCUCCUGGGUGUGUAACAGACGACAUUGACACUGUUAAUGGCAGCUUUUUGCAGUUUCUGGAGCUGUGCCAUCCCAAAUUGCUCCAGGGGUCAAUCCACCUUGGGGCUGGGGAAAAAGCACUGGAGGAAGGUUCAGUCGGUGUGAGUUACGGCCUCAGUUCCGUGAGACGGCGCCGGUACUGGAAGGAACAGCAGGCUUGGACCCGAGAGAUCUUGUCUACAAAUACGUCUUUUUACAACACAUCAUUUAACUUUUCUUGCCUCCAGUUUAUUAAGGUGGGUACCUCCAGUGUCUCUCACUACCUGGUUCCACUUGUUGACCAUGUGACUUCUCUGGGUGGCAGUUUCCUUAUCAGAGAAGCGGAGCUAAUGGCACGCACCUUGCCAAUUUCAUCGGAGGGUGAGGAUCAAUGAACAAAUCAGAAGUGAGUUCACCAUCAAGCUCCUGAAGAUUGAACAUCAG